UUGACAUUUAUCCCAGAUCACCAUCUUUUUCAAAUGCAUUUUGAAAAAGAUGGUGAUCUGGGAAAAAUGUCAAG
Podarcis lilfordi (Lilford's wall lizard) is the source of this 74-nucleotide non-coding RNA. The record is from the annotation of a GenBank genome assembly. NCBI's taxonomy places the organism in Eukaryota, Metazoa, Chordata, Lepidosauria, Squamata, Lacertidae.